CUGAUGAGCAGAUUUGGUGCCUGGGCAGGCUGCCUGUGGUGCGCUAGACCUAACCUCCAGCUACUCCUGCCUGAGGCUGCGAGGAAAAGGGAGGGAGCACACCUCAGCGUAAGUGCGACGGGCAUGGUAACAGUUGCCCACAGGUGGCAGGAGCAGAUGCUGGAUCCGUGAUCUGUUUUUACCUGCUGGCUUGACAGAAGAUAGAUGCCAAGCUUCAAGG
Molecule: long non-coding RNA, 220 nt
Organism: Rhea pennata
Lineage: Eukaryota; Metazoa; Chordata; Aves; Rheiformes; Rheidae
Exons: 3
Source: RefSeq, a predicted model, not a curated record